Molecule: ribosomal RNA, 265 nt
Filed under: Aeromonas enteropelogenes
Lineage: Bacteria; Pseudomonadati; Pseudomonadota; Gammaproteobacteria; Aeromonadales; Aeromonadaceae
Description: partial 23S ribosomal RNA
Rfam family: Bacterial large subunit ribosomal RNA
Source: RNAcentral
CAUCCUCCAAGGCUAAAUACUCCUGACUGACCGAUAGUGAACCAGUACCGUGAGGGAAAGGCGAAAAGAACCCCUGUGAGGGGAGUGAAAUAGAACCUGAAACCGUGUACGUACAAGCAGUGGGAGCCCUUCUGGGUGACUGCGUACCUUUUGUAUAAUGGGUCAGCGACUUACAUUUUGUAGCGAGGUUAACCGUAUAGGGGAGCCGUAGGGAAACCGAGUCUUAACUGGGCGUCUAGUUGCAAGGUGUAGACCCGAAACCGGG